UUUAUUAGAAGAGACGCAUUUWUUAGAUAAAAAGCCAAUGCAUGCUUUUACAGUAUGGAAAUUGGUGAUUUAUAAUAACUURGCAAAUCGCAAAGUGAAAACAGGCGAUAAAUCAUUCAAGUUUCUGACCUAUCAGCUUUCGACGGUAUGGUAUUGGCUUACCGUGGCAGUGACGGUUAACGGGGGAUUAGGGUUCGAUUCCGGAGAGGGAGCCUGAGAAACGGCUACCACAUCUAAGGAAGGCAGCAGGCGCGCAAAUUACCCAAUUCUAACAGUUUGAGAGAGGUAGUAACAAGAAAUAACAAUACAAGGCAAUUAAAAUGCUUUGUAAUUGGAAUGAUAGAAAUUUAAACCCUUUUUAAAGUAUCAAUUGGAGGGCAAGUCUGGUGCCAGCAGCCGCGGUAAUUCCAGCUCCAAUAGCGUAUAUUAAAAUUGUUGCAGUUAAAAAGCUCGUAGUUGAAGUUCUGCUAAAAGUAACCGGUCUGCUUUUAAUAAAAGUGGUAUCUUGGUGUGUAUUUAGCAAUGAUGUCCUUUGAAGUGUUUUUUACUUUAUUGUAAUAAAGCAUAUUCAGGACUUUUACUUUGAGAAAAUUAGAGUGUUUCUAGCAGGCCGACGCUUUGAAUA
RNAcentral lists this ribosomal RNA (625 nucleotides) under Hepatozoon canis. RNAcentral describes it as "bacterial SSU rRNA". The record is from RNAcentral. Lineage: Eukaryota; Apicomplexa; Hepatozoidae.